GGCCGGGGAUUCUUGGUGCCUGACCCGCCGCCUCCCACGGGACUCCUGCGCGGGACAAAAGUGACAGGAGCCGGACCAGCUCCGAGUUCUGCCCCUCCGUCCUGCUGCGACUCUGCUCCACGGACUGAAGGCGCCUUAGGAUGAUACCGGAUGGAAACACGCUCGUUCUCCUCUACUCGGUAGAAAAAAUCUGGGAUUUCUGAAGGACGUCAUAGUUAGUGAAAGUGGCACAGAAGCCUGAGGGCGCAGGCACAUUGAGGCCCGGAGUCUGUGGCCAGUUAAAUGUGGGUAUACUGACAUGGAGCUCCGAAUGAAUGCAGAACUCCGACGGUCGAACAACAGGCCCCCAGGUGACAACCGCAGCCUCUCGGUCUGACGUCAUCCAUUUUCCAGUUCUUUGCUUCACUUCUUCUGUCCACGAAUCGCCCCGAUCCUGACCGGCGGGCGCGCUCGCGAAGCACCAGAAUCGGCGGUGCCUCCACCGCGCUGCGCACCCCCUGCCCCCCCGGGAUGCCCCUGAUGUAGACUCCAUGGGGCAGGGACCUUGGGUUUGCUCACGGUGCAGUCCCUCGCUUACAACAUUGCCUGGCACUUAGUAGGAGCCCAAUAAAUGCUCGGUGAAGGAGUCCAUUCCGCCGCAGGGUCCUGGAGGGGACACGAAAGGCACCAAGAAUUUCACCUUGCACUGUCAGUUUUAGUUUUGGAGAAUACCCCGAAUGGGAAGACGUGAAAGGCAGCCAUUCUUUAAAAUCUUUAUACUCGAAGCUGUUUUAGAACCAGGUCAAGGUCCCGAUCGUGGAAACGUCUAGAGGACACAACCUAGAAUGUCACUGAGUUUCCCACCCUGGAAGGUGCGGCGGCCUCAGCCUAGGGGACGCCGGUGGGCGCAGGGAGAAAGGUGAACGAGGAAAGCUGAAGAGAAGAAAGCGGGUGGCAGUCUGGAGAGCAAGGAAGAAAGGGCAAAGGGAGGACAGGAGUGAAAAGAAAGCUGAGAGGCACCAACACUAGCUGCUGAAAGAAAAACCAGUUAGAAAACGUUGCGGCUAUUGAGGUCAAUUAAUAGCCCUCAACCACAGCACACCCAGUCGGUGGCGUGCGGUGAUGGUUAGUGGUUAGUACUCCGCGAUGCGACCCUAGUAACCUUGGCUUGAAUCUGAGUUGUGACGUUGUCUAACUCGCUAUUUUCCUCUUUAAACAAACCCCCAGUAAAGCCGGAGAUACGGUGCGAUUUCCCGCUUUGAAACUGGUGACCGUCGGCAGUUAGAUCGGGCUCUCGAGGUCCCCCGUGGCGGUGCUCCCAGCCUGAGCCCUCCACCCGCCUAACCUGGGGUAAGGCCGCAGGUCGCCGCGAGCCAAAGUCUGCAGCGCCCGCAUUCCGCACCCCUUAUCCCGGCUCCCGCCCUCGCCCCCCAAGGGGCAAGGCAAAGACUACAAAAGGGCCUGACGGGCUGUGAGAAAGGAAACAGCGUGCAUCUGGAACCACUAACUUUAAUUUAUGCGUCAGACUCUGAAGAAAAGCAUCCAGCAUGGUUGGGAAACGAAUUCUUAGGAGAAGUUUAGGCAACCGACCUACUAUUAAGUAGAAGACAUCCCAGCUUUUCAUCAUCUAGUUUGUUCAGUCCGUAAUGUAUGGUUUCUGCUGUCUCAAUUAUCAUACAGUGAAACUGACUUUCUUUUGGUACAAAUUCUCCAUAAUUAGAAUACAUAAGUUUCAUCUCACCAAAAAUCUUAGUGCUAUCUUGUUACAGUGUUACAGUCACAUCUCCCCCGCAAACAUAAGCCCUUGGGAUCACUGAUCUGUUCAUCACUAUAGUUCUGUCUUUUUGAGAAUGUCCUAAGAAUGGAAGUAUAUAGUAUGUAGCCGUUUGAGACUGGCUUCUUUUACUCAGCACAGUGACUUAGGGAUUUCUUUAAGUUGUUGUAUACAUCAAGAAUUCCUUUUUAUUGUUGGGUAUUCCAUCCAGUGGGUGAACCACUGUUUUGUCUAUCAAUUAAUCCCUUGAAAGAUAUUCGAUGAUUGUACUUUCAGCUCUUACAAAUAAAGCCUAUGAGAAUUCCUGUA
Molecule: long non-coding RNA, 2062 nt
Organism: Herpailurus yagouaroundi (jaguarundi)
Lineage: Eukaryota; Metazoa; Chordata; Mammalia; Carnivora; Felidae
Exons: 2
Source: RefSeq, a predicted model, not a curated record